UGCUCUGGAGCUGCUCACCUCCUACUCUCCGGAACAGUGGGGUAAUCGCUGCAUCCGGUAGCAAGCCUGAUCCAUCGUUGUCUCAGAGCCUCAUGCUUUAAAGGCUGCAGUUCAAAAUCUCAUUUCUNCUGCUCCUGAAAAAGCAGAAGCUAUAGCUUGCAGUGGCGAGCAGAAGUCCACUUGGUGGAACGCAGCUGAGAUCCUGCUUUCAGAGAUUCUCCAAAGAACAAAAAGUGGUGCAAAUUAAGUUGCAUCCAGUCUCCUUUCAAAUAAGGUCGAAGCAUGGCUGUCUCCAGUCCAGGUUACCUGCAAGCAGCCAUGGGUACCCAUCUCCAGG
RNAcentral lists this long non-coding RNA (337 nucleotides) under Salvator merianae (Argentine black and white tegu). RNAcentral's name for it is "lncRNA (ENSSMRG00000018092.1)". The record is from RNAcentral. Lineage: Eukaryota; Metazoa; Chordata; Lepidosauria; Squamata; Teiidae.